GGAGAGGGAAGUGCCAGUGGAUGGGAGCAGGAGGAGAGGGGUGAGAGGAGCCCUGCUGGGCACAGCAGGCAGAAUUCCCAAGUUAUUCCACCUGAAAACGUGUCUCCUGCAAUGGCCAUCAAAUGGGUUUCCAACACGUGCAGACGAGCCUCUGUUUAAUGAAGGCUGCUCCUAAAUGGUGGAAAAGAAUCCAGAGGAUUUAGGGAGCUAGAAAAGCUCUUGGAAUGUGAUUUGUGGUGCAUUUCAGGUGGGAGGGAGCAGCUCCUGCUCUCCAUCCUCCACCAGCCUGCCCAGCUCUGCAGAUGAGAUCAUUUAGUCAGUUAAAAGUCAUCCUGAAGCAAAAACAACUUCCAGAUGUUUCUCUAAUUUUGCAGGACACUGAACUGUGAACAGUCGUUAAACUUUAUCCCUUUUGCUUCCUGAGUUUUCCAAGACAGAAACAGAUAAAAGAAUGGGGGGAAAAAAAAACCCCAAACCACUGCCAAGGGAUAAUUGUGCAAAGGAAAACUCUGGAGUAAAUGUGUUUAUUGUGGGUAUGGCAAAGAGAAAAGGAGCAAAGUGCAAGGGCAAAGCUUGGAAGCUCAGUCACUGUCCUGGAGAACGGGAUCAAUCCCACGUCUUGGUGGUGUUGGGAAAGUCAAGUGUUGGAAACCUCCCUGCAGAGAGGGAUUUGUUUGACAGUUAUCACUUCCCUAAAACUGGCUCUGUUGGAGACUGAGAGCUUGAGAUCUGUCAGGAAAAAGGGGUUUGCUGUUAAAAUUAAUCUGUACUUGCUGAAGAUGAGCUCCUGACUCGUCAUCCUCCCUAACCCUGCAUAGCUACAGUGAGAAUCAAGGAUAUUUUCUCCUAAAAUCCAGGACUGUGAAUUAAAUCCUCCAUAAAAUUUUGAUAAAAAGAUCUUGCAGCUUCAACUUUAGAAAGCAUGUACUUAUUAAAACUCCUCCGACUUGAUGUUUAAUACAAUAUUGACAUCCAGUAAUUAGUUCAUCCAUGAUAUCCUUCAGUUCUUUUCUGCCAAUUAGUGCUGCAGUUUUCACUUGUGCCUGUCAUAGAAAUAAACAGAGAAGGUACCAUUAGAUUUUAUUCUAUUACCUUUUUUUUUCUUUUUAUGGUGGUUUCCCCAUUUCUUGUUCAUCCAUUUAAUGCUGGAAGAUGUGGAAAUUUGCCAAU
Long non-coding RNA from Passer domesticus (house sparrow), 1170 nucleotides. RefSeq lists it as uncharacterized. Lineage: Eukaryota; Metazoa; Chordata; Aves; Passeriformes; Passeridae. The transcript is spliced from 3 exons. The record is from RefSeq and is a predicted model, not a curated record.